UGAAUACGAGACGCUAAGGCGUCGAAGUAGUGUAUGUCAUACUUCCAAGAAAAGCUUGCACUGUCAUAGAUAAAAAACGCCUGUACCAUAACCGACACAGGUGGGUAGGUAGAGUAUACUAAGGGGCGCGAGAUAACUCUCUCUAAGGAACUCGGCAAAAUAACUCCGUAACUUCGGGAGAAGGAGUGCCUUAUUCGUAAGGUUGCAAUAACAAGAUCCAAGCAACUGUUUAUCAAAAACACAGGUCUCCGCUAAGUCGUAAGACGAUGUAUGGGGGCUGACGCCUGCCCAGUGCCAGAAGGUUAAAGAAGUUGGUUAGCAAUUGCGAAGCUGAUAACUGAAGCCCUGGUGAACGGCGGCCGUAACGAUAACGGUCCUAAGGUAGCGAAAUUCCUUGUCGGGUAAGUUCCGACCCGCACGAAAGGCGUAAUGAUUUGGAUACUGUCUCGGAGAGGGGCUCGGUGAAAUAGACUUGUCUGUGAAGAUGCGGACUACCUGCACCAGGACAGAAAGACCCUAUGAAGCUUUACUGUAACUUGAAAUUGAAAUUGGACUUUAUUCGCGCAGUAUAGGUGGGAGGCGUUGAUUAUAAUCUUGUGGGAUUAUUGGAGCCAUCAGUGAGAUACCACUCUUGUAAUGUUAGAUUUCUAACUUUGAAUCAUUAUCUGGUCAAAGAACAGUUUCAGGCGGGCAGUUUGACUGGGGCGGUCGCCUCCUAAACGGUAACGGAGGCGUACAAAGGUUUCCUCUGAACGGUUAGAAAUCGUAUCUAGAGUGUAAAGGCAUAAGGAAGCUUGACUGUGAGACCUACAAGUCGAGCAGGGACGAAAGUCGGUCUUAGUGAUCUGACGGUACUGAGUGGAAAGGCCGUCACUCAACGGAUAAAAGUUACUCUAAGGAUAACAGGCUGAUCUCCCCCAAGAGUUCACAUCGACGGGGAGGUUUGGCACCUCGAUGUCGGCUCAUCGCAUCCUGGGGCGGUAGUACGUCCCAAGGGUUGGGCUGUUCGCCCAUGAAAGCGGUACGCGAGCUGGGUUCAGAACGUCGUGAGACAGUUCGGUCCAUAUCCGGUGUAGGCGUUAGAAUAUUGAGAGGAGCCUUCUUUAGUACGAGAGGACCGAGAAGGACAUACCUCUGGUGUACCAGUUAUCGUGCCAACGGUAAACGCUGGGUAGCUAUGUAUGGAGUGGAUAACCGCUGAAAGCAUCUAAGUGGGAAGCCCACCUCAAGAUAAGUAUUCUC
Molecule: ribosomal RNA, 1242 nt
Filed under: metagenome
Description: bacterial LSU rRNA
Rfam family: Bacterial large subunit ribosomal RNA
Source: RNAcentral